CAACCCUUAAGCCCCUGUUGCUUAGCGUUGGGAGCCUACGGCAGCGUAGCUCCCCAAAGUUAGUGGCGUGGUCGGUUCACACUCCAGACGUAGUAGAUUUUCACCUCGCCUGUAGCUGGACCGGUCCCCUGCCGUAAAACACCCCAAUUUCUCAA
Molecule: unclassified non-coding RNA, 155 nt
Filed under: uncultured Xylariaceae
Lineage: Eukaryota; Fungi; Ascomycota; Sordariomycetes; Xylariales; Xylariaceae
Description: sequence contains ITS2
Source: RNAcentral